UGAGGAAUAUUGGUCAAUGGGCGAAAGCCUGAACCAGCCAUGCCGCGUGAAGGAAUAAGGCCCUAUGGGUCGUAAACUUCUUUUGUAUCGGAGCAAUAAGGGUCACGAGUGAUCCGAUGAGAUUACGAUACGAAUAAGCAUCGGCUAACUCCGUGCCAGCAGCCGCGGUAAUACGGAGGAUGCAAGCGUUAUCCGGAUUUAUUGGGUUUAAAGGUGCGUAGGCGGACGAUUAAGUCAGCGGUGAAAGCGUGUGGCUCAACCAUACCACUGCCGUUGAUACUGGUUGUCUUGAGUGUAAACGAGGUAGGCGGAAUGUGAUGUGUAGCGGUGAAAUGCUUAGAUAUGUCACAGAACCCCGAUUGCGAAGGCAGCUUACCAGGAUACAACUGACGCUGAGGCACGAAAGCGUGGGUAUCAAACA
RNAcentral lists this ribosomal RNA (421 nucleotides) under uncultured Porphyromonadaceae bacterium. RNAcentral's name for it is "bacterial SSU rRNA". It matches the Rfam family "Bacterial small subunit ribosomal RNA", at positions 355 to 774 of the family's 1533-position model. Lineage: Bacteria; Pseudomonadati; Bacteroidota; Bacteroidia; Bacteroidales; Porphyromonadaceae. The record is from RNAcentral.